AGAGUUUGAUCCUGGCUCAGGAUGAACGCUAGCGACAGGCCUAACACAUGCAAGUCGAGGGGUAACAGGGAGCCUGCUCCGCUGACGACCGGCGCACGGGUGAGUAACGCGUAUGCAACCUGCCCAUAGGAUCGGGAUAGCCCCCCGAAAGGGGGAUUAACACCGGAUGAGACCCGGGGGCCGCAUGACCCCUUGGUCAAAUGCGAAGCUUAUGGAUGGGCAUGCGUCUGAUUAGCUAGUUGGCGGGGUAACGGCCCACCAAGGCGACGAUCAGUAGGGGUCCUGAGAGGGAGGUCCCCCACAUUGGUACUGAGACACGGACCAAACUCCUACGGGAGGCAGCAGUGAGGAAUAUUGGUCAAUGGGCGAGAGCCUGAACCAGCCAUGUCGCGUGGAGGAAUAAGGAUCUAUGGUUCGUAAACUCCUUUUGCGGGGGGAUAAAGUGCGGGACGCGUCCCGUUUUGUAGGUACCCCGCGAAUAAGCAUCGGCUAACUCCGUGCCAGCAGCCGCGGUAAUACGGAGGAUGCGAGCGUUAUCCGGAUUUAUUGGGUUUAAAGGGUGCGUAGGCGGCCCCUUAAGUCGGCGGUGAAAUUUCCGGGCUCAACCCGGUCACUGCCGUCGAAACUGGGGGGCUUGAGUGCGUUUGGGGUGGCUGGAAUGUGCGGUGUAGCGGUGAAAUGCAUAGAUAUCGCACAGAACGCCGAUCGCGGAGGCAGGUCACCAAGCCGCAACUGACGCUGAGGCACGAAAGCGCGGGGAUCGAACAGGAUUAGAUACCCUGGUAGUCCGCGCAGUAAACGAUGGACGCUCGCCGUUCGGCAUUGCGCCGAGUGGCCAAGCGAAAGCGAUAAGCGUCCCACCUGGGGAGUACGCCGGCAACGGUGAAACUCAAAGGAAUUGACGG
This 905-nucleotide ribosomal RNA is filed under the name uncultured bacterium. RNAcentral's name for it is "bacterial SSU rRNA". It matches the Rfam family "Bacterial small subunit ribosomal RNA", at positions 8 to 916 of the family's 1533-position model. The record is from RNAcentral.